AGAAGCAGAUUCUGGGCCAGGAUCCACAUUACAAACUAUGCCUGGAGGGACUAACACCUUCCUCAGAGUCUGUGUGCAGGGCUGUGUGGAGGGUCUGAUGAUUUUGUGGGCUAUCCUGACAGAGAUUAUUAGAGACCCCUUUGGUCUGCUGAUGUGAGUUGAACCAGGGUUAGUGAAAACCAGGGACAGAGAGGUUAACUAGGGGCCUGAGCGUCAGCUCUGAGUCCUUUCUUUGAAUGAUUUGUCAGAAGCCUUGAGCUCAGCCAAGUUACAGCAUCUUCUUCACCCUCUGCUAGUUAUAACACUCCCCAAACCCCUGAGUCUGAUGUGUGAGAGGAGUGAUUGUCUGGUAGGAUGUUGGGUGGGGGGCACAUGCAUGAAGACAAAUGGCCAUUUAAGUAUACUUGAUGUUGGUGAGCUAGAGCUGAGAAAUUAGCAGUGAUUAAGAAAAGUCCAGUAUUACUGGGGUGAAAUCUAAUGGAAAGUGUUUCUUGAAAGCACACAGAAGCUGUGUUCCAGAGAUGGCCGAAGUUGUACUUCUCCACUGGCAGCCAAAUUUGGUCACGUGGAAGAGUCACCCAGGUGGUAUUGGUUUAAAGGUAUGAGGAGUCAUGGAGAGUCUUGGCACUGACAGUACAGCCUUGGUGGCAGUUGAAGGCCAAGGAUUGAAGGGGUCAUGCAGAAAAGUUGAGGCUUGUCACCAUGAAGAGAGUCCGGGAAAGACUACUGGUAAAAGUGCAGCCCAGUUGAAGCAGAAGACCCCAGCAUUUUCUGAUCCAAGUGUCAUGGGAUGACCAUCAAAACAGCAGCUGCAGUGGAGUAGAGCCAGCCAGAUCCUAAAAGACAAGCUGUUUGUGCUACAGAGGGCUGAGCCGCAGAAGUAACUCAAGCUCCUUAGAGGAGCACAGAAGAUCUUGAGUGGAUCUCAGACGUUGGAAGAUGCACUAGUUACACUUUUGGAGUUUGGUUUUGUUUUGCUUUGAUUGCGAUUUUGAGCUGGUUCUUCUCUCUUGAAAUAAGAAAGUAUUUAAUCUACUUUUGAUUUUACAGGAACCCACAACUGAGAGACUGAAUUUUAAAAGACUUAAAUUUUAAGAGAAAUUGGUUAUUUUAAAGAGAGUGCACUUUUAAUGUAAUAGAAUUUGUGAGAACUGUGGGACCUUCAAGUUGUUUGUGUUUUGCAUUGUGAUAUUAAUAUUAACAUAACAUUUUGGGGAUACGUGUGAAAAAAAGGUUCUAAUUAAAAAGUGACAUGUUGGGGCUUGAGCUCAACAAUUUAGAGCACCGGCUGCUUAUCCAGACGUCCCGAGUUCAAAUCCCAGCACCCACAUGGUGGCUCACAGUGUCUAUAACAGUAUUCCCGUGAGAUUCAAUACACUCUUCUGGUGCGCAGAUGUACACAAAGACAAAAACACCCAUAUACAUAAAAUAU
Non-coding RNA from Arvicanthis niloticus (Nile rat), 1432 nucleotides. The record is from RefSeq and is a predicted model, not a curated record. Lineage: Eukaryota; Metazoa; Chordata; Mammalia; Rodentia; Muridae.